This 452-nucleotide ribosomal RNA is filed under the name uncultured bacterium. Its description in RNAcentral is "bacterial SSU rRNA". It matches the Rfam family "Bacterial small subunit ribosomal RNA", at positions 96 to 524 of the family's 1533-position model. The record is from RNAcentral.
UGGCAGACGGGUGAGUAAUACGUAGGUAACCUGCCUCCGAGUGUGGAAUAACCUUUCGAAAGGAGGGCUAAUACCGCAUAAGACCACGGCCACUACGGUGGCAGGGGUCAAAGGUGACCUCUACUUGUAAGUUAUCGCUUGGAGAUGGGCCUACGCACCAUUAGCCUGUUGGUAGGGUAAAGGCCUACCAAAGCUACGAUGGUUAGCUGAUCUGAGAGGUUGAUCAGCCACACUGGAACUGAGACACGGCCCAGACUCCUACGGGAGGCAGCAGUAGGGAAUUUUGCGCAAUGGGGGAAACCCUGACGCAGCGACGCCGUGUGAGCGAUGAAGGCCCUCGGGUCGUAAAGCUCUGUCAGAGGGGACGAAAAACAAUAUGGCUAAUAUCCAUGUUGUAUGACGGUACCUUCAGAGGAAGCACCGGCUAACUACGUGCCAGCAGCCGCGGUAAU